Topomyia yanbarensis is the source of this 858-nucleotide long non-coding RNA. RefSeq lists it as uncharacterized. The record is from RefSeq and is a predicted model, not a curated record. NCBI's taxonomy places the organism in Eukaryota, Metazoa, Arthropoda, Insecta, Diptera, Culicidae. The transcript is spliced from 3 exons.
UAAAAAGUGCAAUUCCAGUGCAAUUUCGGGGCAGAGAUUUGGCACCGAAAAUUUUGUCGGUGGAGCCAGUGCACGCACUAACACCAAUAACGGAAACGUCAAAACCACGAUCAAAACAACACAAAAUGGAAAAGAAAAAAAAUCGAAAAUCAGCGACCGGACAAUCGUUAGCGAUUGAACUACGUUAACUGCGGUGUUUUAAUGAGCAAGAAACAUGUUGGCUCACUGGCACAAUUGUACGAGAAUGCAUCUAAUAAUGCAGAAAGUUAUCACGACAGCCGAACUAAUAUAUUGCUUAUGUUGACCCGCUGUAAAUGAUGGCAACGAGUAUCAUCCCACUCAGGUGAAAAUUGAGGUGAAUCGGUUUAUUGCGUGACCGGCCAGCGUCGUGAAGACCCAAAUUUGCCCGAAUGCCGACCCACAUUAUGCUAGAUGGAAAUAUACCUUCGCAAGCAAACCGAUUCAAAUAAUUCUAAUGCACACGGGAAAAGUGGAUAUACAAUCGGCUAAAAAUUCGAGGCACAGGUUUUAAUGGAGCCCACUCCAUUAACCUUGGUAACAAUUUCAAAUGUCGACCUGCUAGCAAGAACAGCUGCACUACAAAAUCCAUUAAGGGACCUAUGCAUCCGUCGUUAUCAGCCAUCCCCUAAACCGGCAACGUAUCCCUUGAAUUGAAUUUCGUUUUCAAAAAAGCGAAUAAAGACAUCUGUUUCUACGGACUUAGUGUACGGCUAAAUUAAGAAACUAUAGUAAGUCCUUUGCGGUUGGAGCUCGAACAUACGGAAUCUGGCUUAUAUACCAGCGUCUUCUGUAUUCCUUUCUAACAUGAACAUUAUUUUGCCUUCUCAAACAUCCUGA